AUGUCCAACCUCCGAAGUUCUGCAUUUCACUUAAUCCAUUCACAGUCUCUCGACCUGCUUGCUGUUGUGCGUCUCUCCUUUUCUAAAUUAGGGUUUCUUGCGGAUUCUUUCUGUCUUAGACGCUUAUAACGCUGACACAAGGAAGCGGCUAGGCUUUUGAGUUUCAGAAGAGAGAAAGUAGCUGCCAUGGAGAGCCCUAAAGAAGAGGCACCGGUUGUGAUUCUGGAUCGACUUUCUAGGGCAUCCAGAGGAAAACGGAUGAACAAGUUGCUUGAUGAGGAAAUUGAAGAGGACGAGUUGUUCUGGAAUCAGGAUGCUCUAAAAGAGGUUCCUACUUUAAUAGCCUGUUUUUCAUUUCUGUUUGUUAUUUACAUUUUUAAUUCUAAUGCUCUGUAUAUACUGUUAAGAUCCCAUUGGUUUGGGAUAGGGAUAGGGUAAUAUAAUUACGGCCUUAUAUGGCCUUGCACCCUUGAGCUAACUUUGGAGGGAGUUAGGCCCGGUCCAUUUUCUUAAGACUGUAUCAGAGGCUCCCAACCAAUGUUGGGGCCUCCUGUAAGCAUUUCAUGCUUCGGUGUUUGGUCAUGGGCAUGAGGGGGCGUGUUAAGAUCUCACAUUGAUUUGCGAUAGGGUAAUGUGCCCUUAUAUGGCCUUGGACAUUCCUCCCCCCUGAGCUAACUUUUGGAGGUGAGUUAGGUCCAGUCCAUUUUCUUAAGAUAUACCCUUUUGGUUCAAAGUUUGUGCUUUGUUUAUUAUGCAUUUGUUUUUUAAGAUUCCCUUUGCUUAGGAGAAUAAUGUGGCUCAAAUUGUAUCUGGAGUAAUAAAACAGAUUGUUAAAUAAGAUUAUACUCAUGAUCUUUAUCUUCUGUUCUUGUUUAUAUCUUUCUAGGAAGAAAAUGAUACUAAUUAUGAAGAAGAGCCAGAAGUCGCGGAUGAGUUUGAUAGUGAUUUUGAUGAUGAUUAAGCAUGAAUACCACCUUCUGUUGGUGCUAGGAGCCUGAACCAGAUGAAGAAGCAGAAAAUGUUGCUGAUGAAAGGACACAGACAAAGAAACGGCUUAUAUUUCCUGGAAAGCCUUCAACAAAGAAGAAAAAGAAGAAGAAAAAGAGAAAAGGUCAAAGCCUGAGGUACAUGAUGAAGAUGCGGAGGACAGUGGACAGGGCGAAGAAGAGGAAGAGGACGAUGAAGACGAAGAGGAUGAAGAUGAGGAAGAUGAUUGAAGCUAUGUAAUUUCUGGCUUGCACCGUUUCCUUGGUCCAUCACAUGCACACUUCAAACAUAAUAGUUUUCGUAAUUCUGUUACCUAAACCUAUGUAUUUUCUGUUACCUAGUUGAGUUUUGCAGUUUGCUGAAACUCUUAACUCUUGUGAAC
This 1369-nucleotide unclassified non-coding RNA is filed under the name Hevea brasiliensis (rubber tree). The record is from RNAcentral. Lineage: Eukaryota; Viridiplantae; Streptophyta; Magnoliopsida; Malpighiales; Euphorbiaceae.